RNAcentral lists this ribosomal RNA (483 nucleotides) under uncultured bacterium. RNAcentral describes it as "bacterial SSU rRNA". It matches the Rfam family "Bacterial small subunit ribosomal RNA", at positions 36 to 518 of the family's 1533-position model. The record is from RNAcentral.
CUGGCGGCGUGCCUAACACAUGCAAGUCGAACGGAGAGCAUAUGAAGUAUUCGGUACGGAAUGCGUUCUUAGUGGCGAACGGGUGAGUAACACGUGGGCAACCUGCCCCAGACUGGGGGAUAACAUUGUGAAAACAGUGCUAAUACCGCAUGACAGGGUUCCGGGCAUCCGGGACUCUUGAAAGGAGAAAUCCGGUCAGGGAUGGGCCCCGCGUCCAAUUAGCUAGUUGGUGGGGUAACGGCCCACCAAGGCGACGAUUGGUAGCCGAACUGAGAGGUUGAUCGGCCACAUUGGGACUGAGACACGGCCCAGACUCCUACGGGAGGCAGCAGUGGGGAAUAUUGGGCAAUGGGCGAAAGCCUGAACCCCAGCGACGCCGCGUGAAGGAUGAAGGUCUUCGGAUUGUAAACUUCUUUGAUCAGGGAAGAAAGAAAUGACGGUACCUGAAAAACAAGCCACGGCUAACUACGUGCCAGCAGCCGC